This 262-nucleotide ribosomal RNA is filed under the name uncultured bacterium. RNAcentral describes it as "partial 16S ribosomal RNA". It matches the Rfam family "Bacterial small subunit ribosomal RNA", at positions 793 to 1055 of the family's 1533-position model. The record is from RNAcentral.
GUCCACGCUGUAAACGAUGAUUACUAGGUGUGGGGACUGACCCCUUCCGUGCCGCAGUUAACACAAUAAGUAAUCCACCUGGGGAGUACGGCCGCAAGGUUGAAACUCAAAGGAAUUGACGGGGCCCGCACAAGCAGUGGAGUAUGUGGUUUAAUUCGAAGCAACGCGAAGAACCUUACCGGGUCUUGACAUCUACAGAAUCCUUUAGAGAUAAGGGAGUGCCCUUCGGGGAACUGUAAGACAGGUGGUGCAUGGUUGUCGU